Molecule: non-coding RNA, 230 nt
Organism: Scytonema millei VB511283
Lineage: Bacteria; Bacillati; Cyanobacteriota; Cyanophyceae; Nostocales; Scytonemataceae
Source: Rfam
GUCAACAACCCAGGGCUAAAGCCACGCUUGCUUAAGCGCCUAAAUUUUAGCCAAUAGUUGACCCGGCUAAGUACCGAAGCGUACUACGUUAACGGCAAGUGUUCAAGUCCUACCUUAGAAUGCGUAGCCAGUUCUGAGCUUCUAGAAGUCGAGGAUUAAACAGAUUUAUUGGGUUAAGUCAGUGUCCUCGACAUAGUACCGACCGUUAACCUUGCCUAGGCUAACUUUAC